CCUACGGGUGGCAGCAGUGGGGAAUAUUGCACAAUGGGGGAAACCCUGAUGCAGCGACGCCGCGUGAGUGAAGACGUCUUUCGGUAUGUAAAGCUCUAUCAGCAGGGAAGAAAAUGACGGUACCUGAUUAAGAAGCCACGGCUAACUACGUGCCAGCAGCCGCGGUAAUACGUAGGGGGCCAGCGUUAUCCGGAUUUACUGGGUGUAAAGGGGGCGUAGACGGGAGCACAAGUCUGGAGUGAAAUGCCGGGGCUGAACCCCGGAACUGCUUUGGAAACUGUGUAGCUAGAGUGCAGGAGAGGUAAGUGGAAUUCCUAGUGUAGCGGUGAAAUGCGUAGAAAUUAGGAGGAACACCAGUGGCGGAGGCGGCUUAAUGGACUGUAACUGACGUUGAGGCUCGAAAGCGUGGGGAGCAAACAGGAUUAGAUACCCUUGUAGUC
This 440-nucleotide ribosomal RNA is filed under the name uncultured bacterium. RNAcentral describes it as "partial 16S ribosomal RNA". It matches the Rfam family "Bacterial small subunit ribosomal RNA", at positions 338 to 795 of the family's 1533-position model. The record is from RNAcentral.